RNAcentral lists this ribosomal RNA (403 nucleotides) under Blastocystis hominis. Its description in RNAcentral is "SSU rRNA". It matches the Rfam family "Eukaryotic small subunit ribosomal RNA", at positions 497 to 908 of the family's 1831-position model. Lineage: Eukaryota; Bigyra; Opalinata; Blastocystidae. The record is from RNAcentral.
UUAGUUUUGCAAUUGGAUUGAGAACAACGUACAAAUGUUAUCGAUAAACAAUUGGAGGGCAAGUCUGGUGCCAGCAGCCGCGGUAAUUCCAGCUCCAAUAGCGUAUAUUAACGUUGUUGCAGUUAAAAAGCUCGUAGUUGAAUUGAAGUGAACUUGGGUUGAUGUGAUCUUCGGAUGACAUGAAUCAAAGUUGACUCUUUCCAAAGUCAAUACAUUGGUAUUCAUUUAUCUUUGUAUUGUGUUUGGUCAUUUACUGUGAGAAAAUUAGAGUGUUCAAAGCAGACGUUUGUUUGAAUACAUUAGCAUGGAAUAAUCAUAUAUGGCUUUCAUGUUGAUUUGAUUGGUUUGAAUAUGGAAGCAAGAUUAAAAGGGACAGUUGGGGGUAUUCAUAGGCAAUACUCAG